UACGGAGGAUGCGAGCGUUAUCCGGAUUUAUUGGGUUUAAAGGGUGCGUAGGCGGACUGUCAAGUCAGCGGUAAAAUACGGGGGCUCAACCCCGUCGUGCCGUUGAAACUGGCGUCCUUGAGUGAGCGAGAAGUAUGCGGAAUGCGUGGUGUAGCGGUGAAAUGCAUAGAUAUCACGCAGAACUCCGAUUGCGAAGGCAGCAUACCGGCGCUCAACUGACGCUGAAGCACGAAAGCGUGGGUAUCGAACAGG
This 252-nucleotide ribosomal RNA is filed under the name uncultured Bacteroidales bacterium. Its description in RNAcentral is "partial 16S ribosomal RNA". It matches the Rfam family "Bacterial small subunit ribosomal RNA", at positions 524 to 776 of the family's 1533-position model. The record is from RNAcentral. Lineage: Bacteria; Pseudomonadati; Bacteroidota; Bacteroidia; Bacteroidales.